Equus asinus (donkey) is the source of this 1720-nucleotide long non-coding RNA. The record is from Ensembl. Lineage: Eukaryota; Metazoa; Chordata; Mammalia; Perissodactyla; Equidae.
UAUCUUAUUAUCUAUAUAGUGGUAUGAUUUCCAACUAUAAUUUCUUUGGAAGAAGAGUCCUUUAUUCUGAGGUGGAUAGAUUUCCUAAAAUGUUCUUUUGUAAGUCAUAUGGUGAUAGCAGAUUUUUCAAAUGUCCUUUUGCGAAAAAAUUAAAAGCCAGAACACCUAUGUCAGCCUCCUAAAUUACUUGGCAAUUCUCUGGACCACGAAUUCCCAGAACUGGCCAGGAACCACUGGGUUAGCUCGCUGACCUCUGACAUGUGAUAAGCAGAUACUCCCUUCUGGGCCGUGCCCUCCCUUGGAGUCGUGUGACUAUUAGCUGAUACUUUGGCAAGUUUCAGGCUCCCUAUUUCAAAUAUGGGGAGACUUGUUUCUGGCCUAUGCUCUUCCCAGGAGUGUUGCAAGGAUAAAAUGUCACAAACUAAAGAGCUUUGGGAAGGGAGGAGCUCAAUAAAUAGAUGAGAUAGCUGUUCCUAAAGACAGCUGGUGUGUUUUCAGUGCGAAGGGCUGAAUGAUCCCACAGAGACCCAGGACAAUUUCUCUGCCAGGGCAUCUGGGGAAAGUGACCAGCACCACUCAUAAAAUGUGCAAACUGUUCCACUGACAAGUGGGACCAGACGGCAGGGGCAAAGGGCCUCCUGAGGAGCUUUGCUUCUCUCCCUCAGAGGGCACAGGUCCAAGACACACUAGACCUCGGGGAGCCUCGAGUUCUGGGUGAUCUCUUGGGACACACCCAGGGAUCUACUGCAGAUCACCCAAGCUUCCCUAACUAGUUUUUCCAUUUCUAAAAGGUGAAGAUGCUUGCUCGGUCCUCUUUACAAGGGUGUCCCAGGGCUGUGAGAAAACACACAAUCCAUUCCUAAACCCUCCCUUUAAAGAUUAUCCACAGUGAAUGUUUAAUUCCUGCCCCUUUAAAUCCUUCAAAAAACAAUGCGUAACUCUGCUGCCUUUUAAUGUUCAAUUCCAGAAUAGCUUUCCCUAUAGUUUUAUCCCAAAUCACAUUUGUGGGUCACUCCCCUUGUCCUAGGCUAAGAGGUGGACAGGAAAUGGAAAAACCACUCUACCAUGAGCCUUAGCACAAACAGCUGAGGUGGACCUGAUGGUUUGACCAAAAUAGACGUAAGUACAAUACACCCAAACUAAAAACAUAGUGCUUGGGAGAAAGUGUGCUGGUUCCCUCCCUUCUGCACAUAGCUGCGAAUUAGCUGCACAUGGAAGUCCUUUGAUGUUUAGAAACCUGAGGCAUCAGGCUGCCCAGGGUUAGCGAUCAACAACACUUUUGUUUGAACUUGUCUGGUAUUUCCCAUUUAUCAGCCCUAUUAUAACCUAACAGUCUUACUGACUUUAGUCUCACUUGGCACUCUCAGCUCCUCUGAUCCCAUAGGUAAGGAUGCCACCCCGAGCAAACUGGGGGCCUACACAUUUUUAAAUAUCUUCCAAUUGAGCUGAGCGAUGCCUCACUGCAGAGCCACUCUUCCGUCCCUGUGCUCUCACUUGACUGACUGGAGGCAGGAGAAUGGGGACAAGCCAGGUAGUUUAAAACCCCAUUUCCCACUUGGUGGUGGAGCCACAGCUCUAUUCUCUCCUCCUUUCAUCUUCCCACUCUCUCCAGCUCAAGCCUCACCGUGCCCAGACAACUUCCUUCGUUGUUAGCCCUGCAUUUCUGAGAUGCAGUGACUCGUCUAUCGGUCUCCCGAUUAGAGUGCCAAGCCCCUAGAGG